AUUGAACGCUGGCGGCAUGCCUUACACAUGCAAGUCGAACGGCAGCACGGGUGCUUGCCCCUGGUGGCGAGUGGCGAACGGGUGAGUAAUACAUCGGAACAUGUCCUGUAGUGGGGGAUAGCCCGGCGAAAGCCGGAUUAAUACCGCAUACGAUCUACGGAUGAAAGCGGGGGACCUUCGGGCCUCGCGCUAUAGGGUUGGCCGAUGGCUGAUUAGCUAGUUGGUGGGGUAAAGGCCUACCAAGGCGACGAUCAGUAGCUGGUCUGAGAGGACGACCAGCCACACUGGGACUGAGACACGGCCCAGACUCCUACGGGAGGCAGCAGUGGGGAAUUUUGGACAAUGGGCGAAAGCCUGAUCCAGCAAUGCUGCGUGUGUGAAGAAGGCCUUCGGGUUGUAAAGCACUUUUGUCCGGAAAGAAAUCCUUGGCCCUAAUACGGUCGGGGGAUGACGGUACCGGAAGAAUAAGCACCGGCUAACUACGUG
Molecule: ribosomal RNA, 486 nt
Filed under: uncultured bacterium
Lineage: Bacteria
Description: partial 16S ribosomal RNA
Rfam family: Bacterial small subunit ribosomal RNA
Source: RNAcentral